AUGCACGCUGGCGGCGUGCCUAAUACAUGCAAGUAGCACGCUGAAGGAAGGAGCUUGCUCUUUCCGGAUGAGUUGCGAACGGGUGAGUAACGCGUAGGUAACCUGCCUGGUAGCGGGGGAUAACUAUUGGAAACGAUAGCUAAUACCGCAUAACAGUAGAUGUUGCAUGAUAUCUACUUAAAAGGUGCAAUUGCACCACUACCAGAUGGACCUGCGUUGUAUUAGCUAGUUGGUGAGGUAACGGCUCACCAAGGCGACGAUACAUAGCCGACCUGAGAGGGUGAUCGGCCACACUGGGACUGAGACACGGCCCAGACUCCUACGGGAGGCAGCAGUAGGGAAUCUUCGGCAAUGGACGGAAGUCUGACCGAGCAACGCCGCGUGAGUGAAGAAGGUUUUCGGAUCGUAAAGCUCUGUUGUAAGAGAAGAACGAGUGUGAGAGUGGAAAGUUCACACUGUGACGGUAUCUUACCAGAAAGGGACGGCUAACUACGUG
Molecule: ribosomal RNA, 496 nt
Filed under: uncultured bacterium
Lineage: Bacteria
Description: partial 16S ribosomal RNA
Rfam family: Bacterial small subunit ribosomal RNA
Source: RNAcentral